RNAcentral lists this ribosomal RNA (1362 nucleotides) under uncultured bacterium. RNAcentral's name for it is "16S ribosomal RNA". It matches the Rfam family "Bacterial small subunit ribosomal RNA", at positions 28 to 1381 of the family's 1533-position model. The record is from RNAcentral.
GAUGAACGCUAGCGACAGGCUUAACACAUGCAAGUCGAGGGGCAGCAGGGGAGUAGCAAUACUCCCGCUGGCGACCGGCGCACGGGUGAGUAACACGUAUGCAACCUGCCCUUGUCAGGGGGAUAAGCGGAAGAAAUUCCGUCUAAUACCGCAUAAUGCUGCGGGGAGACAUCUCCCUGCAGCCAAAGAUUUAUCGGACAAGGAUGGGCAUGCGGCGCAUUAGCUUGUUGGCGGGGUAACGGCCCACCAAGGCGACGAUGCGUAGGGGUUCUGAGAGGAAGGUCCCCCACACUGGUACUGAGACACGGACCAGACUCCUACGGGAGGCAGCAGUGAGGAAUAUUGGUCAAUGGCCGGGAGGCUGAACCAGCCAAGUCGCGUGAGGGAAGACGGUCCUAUGGAUUGUAAACCUCUUUUGUCAGGGAGCAAAAACUGCUACGUGUGGCAGGAUGAGAGUACCUGAAGAAAAAGCAUCGGCUAACUCCGUGCCAGCAGCCGCGGUAAUACGGAGGAUGCGAGCGUUAUCCGGAUUUAUUGGGUUUAAAGGGUGCGUAGGCGGACAGUUAAGUCAGCGGUAAAAUUGAGAGGCUCAACCUCUUCCCGCCGUUGAAACUGAUUGUCUUGAGUGGGCGAGAAGUAUGCGGAAUGCGUGGUGUAGCGGUGAAAUGCAUAGAUAUCACGCAGAACUCCGAUUGCGAAGGCAGCAUACCGGCGCCCAACUGACGCUGAAGCACGAAAGCGUGGGUAUCGAACAGGAUUAGAUACCCUGGUAGUCCACGCAGUAAACGAUGAAUACUAAUUGUUCGGGUCAAAUGAGAUCUGAGUGAUACAGCGAAAGCGUUAAGUAUUCCACCUGGGGAGUACGCCGGCAACGGUGAAACUCAAAGGAAUUGACGGGGGCCCGCACAAGCGGAGGAACAUGUGGUUUAAUUCGAUGAUACGCGAGGAACCUUACCCGGGCUCAAACGACACAGGAAUGAUCUGAGAAAUCAGGCAGUCCUCCGGGACCUGUGUCGAGGUGCUGCAUGGUUGUCGUCAGCUCGUGCCGUGAGGUGUCGGCUUAAGUGCCAUAACGAGCGCAACCCCCAUCGACAGUUGCCAGCAGGUCAAGCUGGGCACUCUGUCGAGACUGCCGGCGCAAGCUGUGAGGAAGGCGGGGAUGACGUCAAAUCAGCACGGCCCUUACGUCCGGGGCGACACACGUGUUACAAUGGCAGGUACAGCGGGAAGCCACCUGGCGACAGGGAGCGGAACCCGAAAGCCUGUCUCAGUUCGGAUUGGAGUCUGCAACUCGACUCCAUGAAGCUGGAUUCGCUAGUAAUCGCGCAUCAGCCACGGCGCGGUGAAUACGUUCCCGGGCCU